RNAcentral lists this ribosomal RNA (190 nucleotides) under uncultured bacterium. Its description in RNAcentral is "partial 16S ribosomal RNA". It matches the Rfam family "Bacterial small subunit ribosomal RNA", at positions 1311 to 1500 of the family's 1533-position model. The record is from RNAcentral.
UUCGCCUUCAUGAAGCUGGAAUUGCUAGUAAUGGCAGGUCAGCAUACUGCCGUGAAUACGUUCCCGGGCCCUUGUACACACCGCCCGUCACACCAUGAGAGUUGGAAAUACCCGAAGCCUGUGAGCUAACUUAAAGAGGCAGCAGUCGAAGGUAGAGCCGAUGAUUGGGGUGAAGUCGUAACAAGGUAAC